AUGCUAAAAUCUGAGGUCGAUAUGGAAGACAAUGAAAUGGAACGAAUACAUUGUGAAAUAAUUCAACAAGAGAUUCCUCCAACUCCCGAGCACAUUGGGACGAGCGCUCAAGAGAUAAAAGUUAUUGACAUUAAUGACACAAGCAGUGAUGAGGAGAAAGAAGAUUAUCAUGUGAACAACAAGGAUGCCACCAAGGUGUCUGAAGAAGCACUCACGGAAGAUCAAGCCCAGGCAGAUGCUGGUUUACAGAGGGAACAACACGCGCAGCCAGACACCAAUUUACAAAAGGAAGAUGAAUGGAAAGAUCCACCGAUACAACCAGAUAGACCACCCCCAGAUAAAAACAAUGAAGGCAUAACACUCUCUCCUUUAGAAGUGGAUAACAGGGCAAAGAGUGUACCAACUUGCCAACAACAGCUUUCUAAACAAAACAUGAACCCUGUUGGCGAAGAUCGCAUAUCAGGAACAUCACCAGAGGCAGAACAUGCACAAGAAGAAAAGAAGCAGAAAGAGAAGCAUUUACUAGAAAAGAUACUUCAAAAGAGGAAACGCGAUGCUGAAGUCUCAGUAGAACCGAGCAUCAAAAACAACAACACACAAAAGGACAGACCAACACCUGGGAAGCUUAACGAGCAGGCACAGUUAGGUCACGACAAGAAAAGGGGAAGGCAUCUUGCAAGAGUGCAGACAAGUUCCCCAAAACCCUCGACAAUUCAAUCACAUGAGAUCAGCUCAGCAAACAUAAUCUCAACUAAGAGGCCAUUCAAGCGAGCAAGCAAGGAAAUUCAGAAAGUCAACGCUCCAGCACUUGUUCCAGGAGAUUUCAUUUACAAGGAAAAGGCCAUGCAACUCUAUAGAUAUCUCAUGAGCCGACAAGGAUAG
Molecule: ribosomal RNA, 882 nt
Filed under: Triticum aestivum (bread wheat)
Lineage: Eukaryota; Viridiplantae; Streptophyta; Magnoliopsida; Poales; Poaceae
Description: partial small subunit ribosomal RNA
Source: RNAcentral